UACGUAGGGACCAAGCGUUGUUCGGAUUUACUGGGCGUAAAGAGCUUGUAGGCGGUCUGUCGCGUCUGCUGUGAAAAUCCGGGGCUCAACCCCGGACUUGCAGUGGGUACGGGCAGACUAGAGUGUGGUAGGGGAGACUGGAAUUCCUGGUGUAGCGGUGAAAUGCGCAGAUAUCAGGAGGAACACCGAUGGCGAAGGCAGGUCUCUGGGCCACUACUGACGCUGAGAAGCGAAAGCAUGGGGAGCGAACAGG
This 253-nucleotide ribosomal RNA is filed under the name uncultured bacterium. Its description in RNAcentral is "partial 16S ribosomal RNA". It matches the Rfam family "Bacterial small subunit ribosomal RNA", at positions 524 to 776 of the family's 1533-position model. The record is from RNAcentral.